CCAAGGUGACCAAAAAAGUGCCUAACUAUCCUAGGAUGUGUCUAAGUGACCAAAGGUGUAUUUAAGUGUCCUAAAAGUGUACCUAAAUGUGCUAUCUUGAAAAGAAGAUACUAAACCUAACUUGGGGUUGCCAAAUGUCACAAUGAGGGGCCAAACCAACCCUCAAUCAGAGUCUCUAAGGUGCCUUUAAAAAAAAUAAAAUUGAGCCAAAGAAGCAUUGAGCCACCAAGGAACUACUGUGGAG
This 244-nucleotide long non-coding RNA is filed under the name Vitis vinifera (wine grape). RNAcentral describes it as "long non-coding RNA (VVIN_LNC008023)". Lineage: Eukaryota; Viridiplantae; Streptophyta; Magnoliopsida; Vitales; Vitaceae. The record is from RNAcentral.